RNAcentral lists this ribosomal RNA (29 nucleotides) under Tragopogon dubius. RNAcentral describes it as "partial 26S ribosomal RNA". Lineage: Eukaryota; Viridiplantae; Streptophyta; Magnoliopsida; Asterales; Asteraceae. The record is from RNAcentral.
GCGACCCCAGGUCAGGCGGGUCUACCCGC